This 73-nucleotide transfer RNA is filed under the name Xanthomonas phage X1. RNAcentral describes it as "tRNA-Met". It matches the Rfam family "tRNA". Rfam says of the family: Transfer RNA (tRNA) molecules are approximately 80 nucleotides in length. Their secondary structure includes four short double-helical elements and three loops (D, anti-codon, and T loops). The record is from RNAcentral. Lineage: Duplodnaviria; Heunggongvirae; Uroviricota; Caudoviricetes.
GGCUAUGUGGGUGAGCGGUUUAGCCGACGUCCUCAUAAGGCGUUUCACACUGGUUCGAAUCCAGUCAUAGCCA